Molecule: long non-coding RNA, 1066 nt
Organism: Lytechinus pictus (painted urchin)
Lineage: Eukaryota; Metazoa; Echinodermata; Echinoidea; Temnopleuroida; Toxopneustidae
Exons: 4
Source: RefSeq, a predicted model, not a curated record
GAGGACUUGAUCUUGCCAUUCUUGGUCUGAUAACCGACAUGGAGGAAGCCCUUAUCCUAGAAGUGUAGGAAAAUCCAAUCCUGUAUGACAAGAGAUUGGAGAUGUUCAAGGAUACAGAAGAAAAAACGAUGUAUGACAUGACAUUGGGCGUCAGCUUGUAAUCUCAGGUGACGUAGCGAGGUGAGGGACAACUUCCUAAAAGACGACAGAAAAUGGAGAGGAAGAGUGGUGACGGAGCUCCCUCAAACACAGCACGUAAAUACAAGUACAGUGAGGCAAUGGAAUUCCUAGUUCCUCACCUACAUAAUCGAGAAACAAGUUCAAUCUUGGAUCCUGUGUUUGAUGUGGACACACCAGGAGAAGCCUGUACCAAGCAGAAAAAAACUGAGCAGGAGAAUGGUGGGUGACAUCUGUCCACAACGUGGGUCAGGCUUCCUCGUCAUCAUCCUCAGGCACGUCCGCAACAUCAGUCCAGUCUUCAAGUCCCAACUUCACUUCAAAUCGAGGACACAAUGUUGCAGUAUUUUCAAAGCACCGAUAGUCAUGGUGACAACAUAACUGUAGAUCAAUAUUUCUCCAGCUUGUCCCCUAUUGUCCCACACUGUAAAAGUUACCUCAAUGCCAGCUCCAUUGCUAUGAGAUUAAAUUUCGGUCUUCCUAACAUUGAACAUACUACUAUAGGAAUUAAAGGUUUAGUGUCAUCUAAACCUAAGUCGAUUCCUAUUGAUGUUAUAAACAUCUCACAAUUUAAGAAUCCAAAUAUGUUUCACCGCUAAAAAGAGAGCUGAUAUCUUAUUCCCUCUGACCAUGGAGCUAAUAGCUCUAUGCUCUGACAUCACUCAAUACUCAUCCGAUUGUUAGCUAACAAAGGGACAGUGGUUUGUAGUUUGCCAGAGCUAACAACCUGUUAACAGUCUCAACAUAAAAGAUGCAAUGUCAGACAUGCAGCAUCACCAACAAAUUAAAAGCGGUGUAUAUGAUUACAUCUGAAUGACUUAUGAUAAAUCCAUAUGAAAUAAAUCAUUUGCAGGAAAUUUACAACUUUAAUGACUGAUAUCGUAUUAUA